UGGGGAAUUUUGGACAAUGGGGGAAACCCUGAUCCAGCCAUCCCGCGUGUGCGAUGAAGGCCUUCGGGUUGUAAAGCACUUUUGGCAGGAAAGAAACGUCAUGGGUUAAUACCCCGUGAAACUGACGGUACCUGCAGAAUAAGCACCGGCUAACUACGUGCCAGCAGCCGCGGUAAUACGUAGGGUGCAAGCGUUAAUCGGAAUUACUGGGCGUAAAGCGUGCGCAGGCGGUUCGGAAAGAAAGAUGUGAAAUCCCAGAGCUCAACUUUGGAACUGCAUUUUUAACUACCGGGCUAGAGUGUGUCAGAGGGAGGUCGAAUUCCGCGUGUAGCAGUGAAAUGCGUAGAUAUGCGGAGGAACACCGAUGGCGAAGGCAGCCUCCUGGGAUAACACUGACGCUCAUGCACGAAAGCGUGGGGAGCAAACAGG
RNAcentral lists this ribosomal RNA (429 nucleotides) under Acidobacteriota bacterium. Its description in RNAcentral is "Acidobacteria bacterium partial 16S ribosomal RNA". It matches the Rfam family "Bacterial small subunit ribosomal RNA", at positions 355 to 776 of the family's 1533-position model. The record is from RNAcentral. Lineage: Bacteria; Pseudomonadati; Acidobacteriota.